GGAGAAGUUAUGACAAAAAGAGAGUGAGCACGCAAAAGCAACCAUAUACAAAACUUUUAUACAACUUCCCCUUUGUGUGCUCACUCUCUUCUGUCAACUUCUUUUCCCCCAUCAACAUAUAUUUAUCUAGUUAUGACACUAAAUAAUAUGUUAGAAAAACGAAACAGAAAAAACAAGGAUAUGUGUAUAUGUGUAGAUAGGAAAUUCCAAUUAGUCCAGAAACCGAUGAAAAAAU
RNAcentral lists this small RNA (235 nucleotides) under Arabidopsis thaliana (thale cress). RNAcentral describes it as "ATSL246420". The record is from RNAcentral. Lineage: Eukaryota; Viridiplantae; Streptophyta; Magnoliopsida; Brassicales; Brassicaceae.